This 774-nucleotide ribosomal RNA is filed under the name uncultured Neocallimastigales. RNAcentral describes it as "partial large subunit ribosomal RNA". It matches the Rfam family "Eukaryotic large subunit ribosomal RNA", at positions 23 to 644 of the family's 3401-position model. The record is from RNAcentral. Lineage: Eukaryota; Fungi; Neocallimastigomycota; Neocallimastigomycetes; Neocallimastigales.
AGAGAGAGACAUGCGCGCAUAUCAAUAAGCGGAGGAAAAGAAACUAACAAGGAUUCCCUAGUAACGGCGAGUGAAGCGGGAAGAGCUCAAAUUUGAAAUCUUAAAGGUUUCCCUUGACGAAUUGUAGUUUAUAGAAGUGUUUUCUGUUAGUGGAGUGGCAAAAGUUCUUUGGAAUAGGACAUCAUAGAGGGUGAGAAUCCCGUAUUUGGUCAUUCCUCCUAGCGUUGUGAUACACUUUCAACGAGUCGGAUUGUUUGGGAAUGCAGUCCCAAAUGGGUGGUAAAUUUCAGUCUAAAGCUAAAUAUUGGCGAGAGACCGAUAGCGAACAAGUACCGUGAGGGAAAGAUGAAAAGAACUUUGAAAAGAGAGUUAAACAGUACGUGAAAUUGUCAAAAGGGAAGCGUUUGACACCAGUGUUGUUUUUCCGAAAAUCAAUUACGAAUGUUUUGUUUUUGAGGAGUUAUGACUUCAUCGGCUUGCUUCUUUCUUUACUGAAACUUUCUUAAUGCACUUUUCGGUUAACAAGUCAACAUCAAUUUCUUUUGUUGUAAAAGGGUAUGAGGAAGGUGGCUUUCUUUUCGGAGAAAGUGUUUAUAGCCUUGUACCUCUGCAAUCGGAGAGAUUGAGGUCUGCAGCGUAGAUCCUUCGGGGUUAGAUACAUUUGUGCUAAGUUAUAGCUUUUCAUAGACAACUUGUUGACUAUGUUUAGUCUUGUAGCUUACUCGCUUAUGCUAUUUUACCUACGCUUAGGAUGUUGAUAGUCACAGCGUGUAC